CUACACGGGUAUCUAAUCCUGUUUGCUCCCCACGCUUUCGCACCUCAGCGUCAAUACCUGUCCAGCGAGUCGCCUUCGCCACUGGUGUUCUUCCGAAUAUCUACGAAUUUCACCUCUACACUCGGAAUUCCACUCGCCUCUCCAGGAUUCUAGCAUACUAGUUUCAAGGGCAGUUCCGGGGUUGAGCCCCGGGAUUUCACCCCUGACUUGAUACGCCGCCUACGCGCGCUUUACGCCCAGUAAUUCCGAACAACGCUAGCUCCCUCCGUAUUACCGCGGCUGCUGGCAC
This 289-nucleotide ribosomal RNA is filed under the name uncultured Erythrobacteraceae bacterium. RNAcentral's name for it is "partial 16S ribosomal RNA". The record is from RNAcentral. Lineage: Bacteria; Pseudomonadati; Pseudomonadota; Alphaproteobacteria; Sphingomonadales; Erythrobacteraceae.